UGCAGUGUUAUCCGGAAUCACUGGGCGUAAAGCGUCUGUAGGUGGUUUAGUAAGUCUAUUGUUAAAGCUUGAGGCUCAACUUCAAAUCAGCGAUGGAAACUGCUAGACUAGAGUGUGGUAGAGGUAAGAGGAAUUUCCAGUGGAGCGGUGAGAUGCGUAGAUAUUGGAAAGAACACCGAUGGCGAAGGCAUCUUACUGGGCCAUAACUGACACUCAGAGACGAAAGCUAGGGUAGCAAAUGGGAUUAGAUACCCCAGUAGUCCUAGCAGUAAACGAUGGAUACUAGAUGUUGCCCGUAUCAACCCGUGCAGUGUCAAAGCUAACGCGUUAAGUAUCCCGCCUGGGAAGUAUGCACGCAAGUGUGAAACUCAAAGGAAUUGACGGGGGCCCGCACAAGCGGUGGAGCAUGUGGUUUAAUUUGAUGCAACGCGAAGAACCUUACCAGGGUUUGACAUGACAUGAAUUUUUCUGAGAAGAAAAAGUGCCUUUUAGGAACAUGUACACAGGUGGUGCAUGGCUGUCGUCAGCUCGUGUCGUGAGAUGUUGGGUUAAGUCCCGCAACGAGCGCAACCCUUGUUUUUAGUUAUUUUUCUAGAAAGACUGCCGGUUAUAAGCCGGAGGAAGGCGGGGACGACGUCAAGUCAGCAUGCCCCUUAUACCCUGGGCUACACACGUGCUACAUUGGGUAAGACAAUGAGUCGCGAGCCUGUGAAGGUCAGCAAAUCUAUAAACUUACUCUAAGUUCGGAUUGUAGGCUGCAA
This 761-nucleotide ribosomal RNA is filed under the name uncultured marine dictyochophyte. Its description in RNAcentral is "bacterial SSU rRNA". It matches the Rfam family "Bacterial small subunit ribosomal RNA", at positions 533 to 1310 of the family's 1533-position model. The record is from RNAcentral. Lineage: Eukaryota; Dictyochophyceae.